UCAUGAAAAUCACUAGUUUAACUAUUGUUUCUUUAGAAACAAGAUUUAAUUUUUAAAAUUUAAAUUAGAUUCCCUCUAAAGUUGGUUUCACCAUACUAUAUGAGAUAUAAUAUGGUGGACAGGUUAGAAGAUAGAUCUGUGAGAGCUCGAUUAUGGUGUAUCCCAAAAGAGUUUGAAAUGUCACUUUUUCUUUCCAAUGGUUCACAAUGUAAUUAUCAUA
This 220-nucleotide long non-coding RNA is filed under the name Elaeis guineensis (African oil palm). Its description in RNAcentral is "long non-coding RNA (EGUI_LNC032937)". Lineage: Eukaryota; Viridiplantae; Streptophyta; Magnoliopsida; Arecales; Arecaceae. The record is from RNAcentral.